This 386-nucleotide unclassified non-coding RNA is filed under the name uncultured fungus. Its description in RNAcentral is "sequence contains ITS1". The stretch from base 1 to 103 matches the Rfam family "5.8S ribosomal RNA", at positions 50 to 154 of the family's 154-position model. Lineage: Eukaryota; Fungi. The record is from RNAcentral.
GAACUGCGAUACGUAAUGUGAAUUGCAGAAUUCCGUGAAUCAUCAAAUCUUUGAACGCAUAUUGCGCUCAGGAUUAACCCUGAGCAUACCUGUUUGAGUGUCAGUAAUACCAUCUCAAACUCGAAUUCUUUUGAAUUUCUGUUUGGACUUGAGCCUUUUUAACUUAAUUUUCAGUUGAGUGGCUUUAAAAAUAUAGAAAGGAAAGCUGACGCUUUUACCUGCGAUUUGAUAGAUGAAAAAAAAAUUCAUUUUUCGUUUGUAAUCUAUCAGGUUUGAGCAUAAUGGCUUUUUUUCUUUCAAUUUUGGUCUUAUAAGAUGAAUACAUUUUUUUGUUGCCAUCUCGAAACUUUGACCUCAAAUCAGGUAAGAUUACCCGCUGAACUUAA